RNAcentral lists this transfer RNA (68 nucleotides) under Aethomys nyikae (Nyika rock rat). RNAcentral describes it as "tRNA-Met". It matches the Rfam family "tRNA". From Rfam's summary of the family: Transfer RNA (tRNA) molecules are approximately 80 nucleotides in length. Their secondary structure includes four short double-helical elements and three loops (D, anti-codon, and T loops). Lineage: Eukaryota; Metazoa; Chordata; Mammalia; Rodentia; Muridae. The record is from RNAcentral.
AGUAAGGUAAGCUAAUUAAGCUAUCGGGCCCAUACCCCGAAAACGUUGGUUAAACCCUUCCCAUACUA